CAGUUAGUUAUACAACAAAAAAAUUGGUGCAAUGAAGUUUGGUUUCUCAACUCUUCAACUGCUUUAUAUACAUUUAUUGAUCUGUUUGUUUCAUUGUACAAGUAUAAAUGAAUAAAUGGCAUUUGUGAGCAAUUUUCUUUUCUUUGGCAGUGAUAUGAAGACACUUCGUGAGGCAUUAGCAAAAUCAGAACCGUACGGCUUCUGUAUUAAUCUCUACUUUGAACUAGCCCUUCCUGAUGGAUAUUCUUACUGUUGACAGCUACAUGGGGUAAAAAAAACACCCUCAUGGAUCAUUUUUAAAAGACUUACUUUGUUCUUUCUCUCUUGUCAUUUCAUCCCAAAAUUUCCACUUUGAGUACCUGAAGAAAUCAGAAAAUACAACUCGGGAAUUUGCAUCUUAGUGAAACAGAGACUCCAAAACUAACACUGACUGAAUCAAAAUGAUGGCAGAGUUCAAACUGGUGGCUAGUUAUUGGAGUCUGUUCAGCAACAACUAACUGAACCUCAAUCCCAGUAAAUGGUUGAAGACAGAAGACUUACAGAUUUUAUAUCCAGCCCAUGAGGAUUUUGACUGAUUCCAUUGAGCAGGCUCAGGUGAAAAACUGAAGGGCCAAGACAAAGUCAGUGACUUGUCCAGGAUCACACAACCAGUCAUUAGCUCCGCUGAGAAGAAAACACACAUCUCUUGAUGCGCAGAUGAGUGUUUCGUUUUUGUUAUUUAGCACUUCGAGUGCUUCCGUGCAACAUACCAUUUGUAUUCUUUGAAACAAACUCUUCAGGUAUUUCCAGGUGUUUUUCACGUUUCUGACCUGAGAGAAAGUAUACCUAAUGGUAUAAGUAGAUUUAAAAUCUAUUUAAAAUUCUCAAAGUUUCUAAUGCUGUUCUUUCUUUAGUAACUACUUCAAAAUGUUAAUUGUCUGUCAGUCCUUUGAUUUGGAGAAUUGCUUAUGGGACCACCUAGAGGUUAUGAUAGGGAGAAGACAUUACACAUGAAAGCCAUCCGACAGUCUGAUAUUACAGAAUGAGCCAACAUUCCACCAGCAUCCGCUCAGAGUGAUAGCCCUGAAUACAAUGGAUAUUUAAUGUGCCUUAAGAAAUUUCACUUGAAAUGUUACUCCGAAUCCAAAUUAUCAUCAAAAUGGAAAAGAUAGAGAUUGCUAUAUUUCCUGUUAGACAUAAAGCCUUAAAUAAACUUUCUGAUUCUUUUAUGCAUGAACCUAAAUUUACUUACAGAGUUAUUAUGUACUUUAUAUACCUAAUUAUCUAUUUAUCUGUAUACACAUUUCUAAUAUAGACUCAGGUUUUAAUGAAGACUGGUUUAAAAUGCUUAAUGAGGCUUUGUCAAGGUUCACAUUGAUAGCCUGUGUUAACAUGACUUUAUCAGUGUUUGUUCAAUCUACUAAGUUUAUUUAUUCAGCAAAUAUUUAUCAAAAAAGAACUCUAUGCAAUUCACUGCAUACACACAGAAAAAUGCUGAGCCAACCACUGAGCACUUAAUAACCACUCUACAUAGCAAAGAUGCCAUGC
Long non-coding RNA from Cercocebus atys (sooty mangabey), 1527 nucleotides. RefSeq lists it as uncharacterized. The record is from RefSeq and is a predicted model, not a curated record. The transcript is spliced from 3 exons. Lineage: Eukaryota; Metazoa; Chordata; Mammalia; Primates; Cercopithecidae.